Molecule: long non-coding RNA, 279 nt
Organism: Humulus lupulus (European hop)
Lineage: Eukaryota; Viridiplantae; Streptophyta; Magnoliopsida; Rosales; Cannabaceae
Exons: 4
Source: RefSeq, a predicted model, not a curated record
CAGGGAAAACAAGAAUCUCACAGGAACAACUUGUUAUGCAAGUGUUAACACUCACCUUGGAGUUGAGCAAAGCAGAAGAGAUGAUUUGGAGUCUCUUGGUUAUGUGCUUAUGUAUUUUUUGAGGGGAAGUCUUCCUUGGCAGGGAUUAAAAGCAGGUACAAAAAAAAUAGAAAUAUGACAAGAACAGUGAAAAGAAGAUGCUUACUCCCAUAGAGCAACCAAGUGGGAAACUGGUUCUAAAUCCUGGGCCAUCUACAGAGAGAAUAGAGAGACCUUCAG